This 56-nucleotide transfer RNA is filed under the name Amphitetranychus viennensis (hawthorn spider mite). RNAcentral describes it as "tRNA-His". Lineage: Eukaryota; Metazoa; Arthropoda; Arachnida; Trombidiformes; Tetranychidae. The record is from RNAcentral.
AUUGAUUUAGUUUAUAAAAAAAUAGUAAAUUGUGGAUUUACAGAAAAAAUUCAAUA